GACGAACGCUGGCGGCGUGCUUAACACAUGCAAGUCGAACGGAAAGGCCCUGCUUUUGUGGGGUGCUCGAGUGGCGAACGGGUGAGUAACACGUGAGUAACCUGCCCUUGACUUUGGGAUAACUUCAGGAAACUGGGGCUAAUACCGGAUAGGAGCUCCUGCUGCAUGGUGGGGGUUGGAAAGUUUCGGCGGUUGGGGAUGGACUCGCGGCUUAUCAGCUUGUUGGUGGGGUAGUGGCUUACCAAGGCUUUGACGGGUAGCCGGCCUGAGAGGGUGACCGGCCACAUUGGGACUGAGAUACGGCCCAGACUCCUACGGGAGGCAGGAGGGGGGAAUAUUGCAACAUGGGCGGAAGCCUGAUGCAGCCACGCCGGGUGCGGGAUGACGGCCUUCGGGUUGGAAACCGCUUUCGCCUGUGACGAAGCGUGAGUGACGGUAAUGGGUAAAGAAGCACCGGCUAACUACGUG
Molecule: ribosomal RNA, 468 nt
Filed under: uncultured bacterium
Lineage: Bacteria
Description: partial 16S ribosomal RNA
Rfam family: Bacterial small subunit ribosomal RNA
Source: RNAcentral